This 252-nucleotide ribosomal RNA is filed under the name uncultured Bacteroidales bacterium. Its description in RNAcentral is "partial 16S ribosomal RNA". It matches the Rfam family "Bacterial small subunit ribosomal RNA", at positions 524 to 776 of the family's 1533-position model. The record is from RNAcentral. Lineage: Bacteria; Pseudomonadati; Bacteroidota; Bacteroidia; Bacteroidales.
UACGUAGGUGGCAAGCGUUAUCCGGAUUUACUGGGUUUAAAGGGUGCGCAGGCGGCGUGUCAAGUCAGCGGUAAAAUGUCGGGGCUCAACCCCGGCCGGCCGUUGAAACUGGCGUGCUCGAGUUGGAGAGAAGUAUGCGGAAUUCGUGGUGUAGCGGUGAAAUGCAUAGAUAUCACGCAGAACCCCGAUUGCGAAGGCAGCAUACCGGCGCCCGACUGACGCUGAGGCACGAAAGCGUGGGGAUCGAACAGG